ACGCCUCAUUCUUCUCCUUCACGCCAGAACCCUCUUUAUCAAUUCCGUAGCAAUCUUCGUUGAUAUCUUAUUUACAAUCAUUAGAACAACUUGAUUGCAGAUUUAUAUCCUUUGUAAAACCCUAGGUUUCACAUUCUAUGAAGAAAAUAGUCAUGAUCUUGAAUCAACGAUCCUGAAUAUAGCAUCAUCAGGGAAAGAUUUCUCAUUGAAACCCUAGCCACCUUCAAGCAUCGCACCAUUCGUUUUCUCACUGGAGUGUAGAUCGCAAAAGCUUUUCCAGUGCGGUUAUACCAAUCUCGCUGUUCAAUAGAAAAAUCCGUCUUUUUUGUUUUUAUUAUAAUUAUUUGUCUCGAUUACAUAGUCAUCUACUGAUGUAAUGAAUUUAUUAUUCGUUUAUCGUUUUAUGAUUGUCGUAUCAGUAUGAUAGGUACCAGGUAGGACUCAAGUUAGAUCUAAUUUCUUUCUUUUUUUGUUCAUAUGUGUUUGAUUUGGGAAAAGCCAUUUAAGCAUUGAAGAACAACUGCA
Molecule: long non-coding RNA, 525 nt
Organism: Helianthus annuus (common sunflower)
Lineage: Eukaryota; Viridiplantae; Streptophyta; Magnoliopsida; Asterales; Asteraceae
Exons: 3
Source: RefSeq, a predicted model, not a curated record